Molecule: unclassified non-coding RNA, 387 nt
Filed under: soil metagenome
Description: partial contains 5.8S ribosomal RNA, internal transcribed spacer 2, and large subunit ribosomal RNA
Rfam family: 5.8S ribosomal RNA (bases 1-120)
Source: RNAcentral
GAUGAAGAACGCAGCGAAAUGCGAUAAGUAAUGUGAAUUGCAGAAUUCAGUGAAUCAUCGAAUCUUUGAACGCACCUUGCGCUCCUUGGUAUUCCGAGGAGCAUGCCUGUUUGAGUGUCAUGAAAUUCUCAACCUUUUCAGCUUCCUUUGUUGAUCAGGCUUGGAUGUGGGAGUAUGCGGGCUUCUCAGAAGUCGGCUCUCCUGAAAUGCAUUAGCGGGACCUUUGUUGCCUGGCUUUGGUGUGAUAAUUAUCUACGCCAUUGUAGUCAAGCAGCUUAAAAUGAGGUUUCAGCUUCUAACCGUCUCCCCUGAGACAACUUUUUGACAAUUUGACCUCAAAUCAGGUAGGACUACCCGCUGAACUUAAGCAUAUCAAUAAGCGGAGGA